This 408-nucleotide ribosomal RNA is filed under the name Triticum aestivum (bread wheat). RNAcentral's name for it is "partial small subunit ribosomal RNA". Lineage: Eukaryota; Viridiplantae; Streptophyta; Magnoliopsida; Poales; Poaceae. The record is from RNAcentral.
CCAGAUGGCAAGUUCUACCUAGGAGAUGCUGGCUAUGCAUGUUGCCCAGGUGUUUUUCCACCCUUCAGGAAAACCAGGUACUAUCUGAAUGAGUUCGCUGGUAACUAUCCUAGGACUCCUCAAGAAAUGUUCGAUCUCAGACACUCCACCCUUAGAGUAACGGUUGAGAGGGCAUUUGGAGCUCUGAAGAAUAAGUUUAAGAUCUUGAAUCAGAAGCUAUUCCACCCUUAGCCUGCCCAGGUUAAGCUUGUUCUUGCAUGUUGCAUCAUUCGCAACUGGAUCCUACAAUGGGGUUCUGAUGAAGUUGUGCUGUAGGAGGAAGAUGUGAUACCUGAUGAUGUGAUCAGCUCCGGUCGUGGUGUGGAGGCAUUUGACAACAAAGCGUGGAAGAACAAAAGGUUGGAGUGA